GCAGAUGACUGGACAAACCCUUUACCACUCCUGGGAGAACUGGGAAGGUGAUGUCCAUCACCUUAACAGACUGUAAAUUCUUGGGAACAGGGCCUGAGUUUUAUUCCCCUCUUGCCCAGCAGCUGUCAAGAUGCCCAACACAGAGCAGUUGCUUAAUAUGCACAUUCUUUGCUGCACAAGCUUUUUCAAAAACUGCUGCUGAGUUUGCACGAUGAAGCUGCUGUGGACUGAAUAUUUGUGUUUUCUCCAAAUUCGCACGAAGCCCUAACCCCCCAUGCGUCUAUAUUUGGAGAUGGGGCCUUUACAGAGCCAUGUGGGACGCGUUUGUUUCACCUUCACCUUCCACUGUGAUUGUAUUUCCUGAGGCAUCUCCAGAAUCAGAAGGCUGUACAGCAUGAAAAACCAUGAG
RNAcentral lists this long non-coding RNA (409 nucleotides) under Homo sapiens (human). RNAcentral describes it as "HSALNT0336197". The record is from RNAcentral. Lineage: Eukaryota; Metazoa; Chordata; Mammalia; Primates; Hominidae.